Molecule: ribosomal RNA, 450 nt
Filed under: uncultured bacterium
Lineage: Bacteria
Description: partial 16S ribosomal RNA
Rfam family: Bacterial small subunit ribosomal RNA
Source: RNAcentral
GUGGGGAAUAUUGGACAAUGGGCGAAAGCCUGAUCCAGCCAUGCCGCGUGUGUGAAGAAGGUCUUCGGAUUGUAAAGCACUUUAAGUUGGGAGGAAGGGCAGUAAGUUAAUACCUUGCUGUUUUGACGUUACCGACAGAAUAAGCACCGGCUAACUACGUGCCAGCAGCCGCGGUAAUACGUAGGGUGCAAGCGUUAAUCGGAAUUACUGGGCGUAACGCGUGCGCAGGCGGUUUUGUAAGACAGGCGUGAAAUCCCCGGGCUCAACCUGGGAACUGCCUCCAAAACUGCAUGACUAGAGUACGGUAGAGGGUAGUGGAAUGUCCGGUGUAGCGGUGAAAUGCGUAGAUAUAGGAAGGAACACCAGUGGCGAAGGCGACUACCUGGACUGAUACUGACACUGAGGUGCGAAAGCGUGGGGAGCAAACAGGAUUAGAUACCCUUGUAGUCC